RNAcentral lists this ribosomal RNA (404 nucleotides) under uncultured Gammaproteobacteria bacterium. RNAcentral's name for it is "bacterial SSU rRNA". It matches the Rfam family "Bacterial small subunit ribosomal RNA", at positions 9 to 411 of the family's 1533-position model. The record is from RNAcentral. Lineage: Bacteria; Pseudomonadati; Pseudomonadota; Gammaproteobacteria.
GAGUUUGAUCCUGGCUCAGAUUGAACGCUGGCGGCAUGCCUAACACAUGCAAGUCGAACGGUAACGCAGCUAGCUUGCUAGUGGGCGACGAGUGGCGAACGGGUGAGUAACGCGUAGGAAUAUACCUUUUUGUGGGGGACAACUUUAGGAAACUGAAGCUAAUACCGCAUAAUAUCUUCGGAUAAAAGCUGGGGACCUUCGGGCCUGGUGCAAAAAGAUUAGCCUGCGUCCGAUUAGCUAGUUGGUAGGGUAAAGGCCUACCAAGGCGACGAUCGGUAGCUGUUCUGAGAGGAAGAUCAGCCACACUGGGACUGAGACACGGCCCAGACUCCUACGGGAGGCAGCAGUGGGGAAUAUUGGACAAUGGGGGCAACCCUGAUCCAGCAAUGCCGCGUGUGUGAAGA